CCGGUACUAAUGGUCUACCAGCAUCCGGGCCUGGCUCGUGCCACGUGGUGGCACUUUAGCGCCGGUUCGUGCCGAACCGGUAGUAAAGGGGGGGCCUUUAGUCUCCACUCUUUAGUGCCGGUUGUAGAACCGGCACUAAAGGCCCUUACGAACGUGCGCUAAAGCCCGGUUCUGCACUAGUGUUAGUUAGUUGGUCAGGUAAAGGCUGGCCAAGCCAAUGAUGCUUAGCUGGUCUUUUUGGAUGAUUAGCCGCACCGGGACUGAGACACGGCCUGGACUCCCAUGGGAGGCAGCAGUGGGGAAUUUUGAACAAUGGGCGAAAGCCCGAUCCAGCAAUAUCUCGUGAGUGAAGAAGGUCAAUGCUGCUUGUAAAGCUCUUACGUCGAGUGCGCGAUCAUGACAGAACUCAAGGAAGAAGCCCCGGCUAACUCCAUGCUAGUAGCCGCCCUAAACAGGGGGCGGG
RNAcentral lists this non-coding RNA (463 nucleotides) under Triticum aestivum (bread wheat). RNAcentral's name for it is "Bacterial small subunit ribosomal RNA". It matches the Rfam family "Bacterial small subunit ribosomal RNA", at positions 67 to 538 of the family's 1533-position model. Lineage: Eukaryota; Viridiplantae; Streptophyta; Magnoliopsida; Poales; Poaceae. The record is from Rfam by way of RNAcentral.